AUGCAACCAGUUGUGAUCCAACCAUCAGCUGUUUGCCUUGUCCCUGCAACAGACUGGCCACCUCUUCAGGGUGUACCCGCUUUCGCCCAACAUCGGGUUGUUUCCAGCAGCCCCGUGAUUCCUACAGGGAUUAAUCGGGUUCUGAAGAUGGGUGGAUGGAGUCCUGAUGAAGACUGACCAGUUGAUUGAUAAUUUUCCAACUAGAGCCGGUCAGGCUGCAUAAUAGCACGGCUCACUCAAAGUUCCUUCCUCCCCCGGCUCCACCCAGCCUCUUGUCCCACGAUGCAGCCAAUAGAUCUGUAGUGUUAUUGAUCCCCGGGUCGCCGGGGUGACGGACCAACUCCGAGGCAGGGCGAGUUACCAGCUUUGUCCGCGCCUGCCAGCUGGCCUACUCCUGUCUGGAAUGGAUUAGCCUCCUGUUUACGGCCCAAAAGGAUCCUUCACUUCAGCUCCCUCCUUUAGGAUGGAAGCUCAUGCAAACAUUUCACCGGCCACGCCCACAUUGAGUGACCCCCCCCCAGCUGUGGGCGGCCGUGGUGCAGCGGUAGGGCGGUCGACCCAUGAUCGUAAGGUUGCAGGUUCGAUUCCCGCCUUGCACGCCCAUGAGUCGAAGUGUCCUUGGGCAAGACACUGAACCCCACCUUGCCUCUGGUGGUGGGCGGGCGCCUGUGUUUGGCAGCGGAGCCGCCACCAGUGUCUGAAUGUGUGAGUGAAUGUGUGUGUGACUGGGUGAAUGGGUCUGUGACUGUAAAGCGCUUUGUCCUUGUAGGAAGAAAGGCGCUAUAUAAGUAUACGCCAUUUAGCUGUAAAAGCACUUAAUCCAAGUGAAUGGGUUAAUUGAAUACACUUGCUUAAUUUCAAAUUAGGUGAAGUUUAACAUGCUAAAAAAAUUCAAAGUAAAAGCUCAAAGAGAAAAAGAUCAGAAGAAUUUUUUUUUUUUUUAGCACAAAGGCUGAAAAAGAAGUCUUAAAGAAAUACAAGAUGAAGAUGAACACGAUUGUGGUAAUUUUUAAAAAUAAACUUGAUUUUUAAAACCUUAACACCAUCAUGGUCUUGUCUUUGAGGAGGACUGAGCAUAUUUGACCGACUGCUUCCUCUCCAUUUUCAUGUCACAAGCUGUGCGGCCUGGCUGAGCCUCUUGCACAGAAGUGGAAAUCAAAUGUGUUCUUAUUUGAAACCCAUUAGUU
RNAcentral lists this long non-coding RNA (1187 nucleotides) under Oryzias sinensis (Chinese medaka). Its description in RNAcentral is "lncRNA (ENSOSIG00000009278.1)". Lineage: Eukaryota; Metazoa; Chordata; Actinopteri; Beloniformes; Adrianichthyidae. The record is from RNAcentral.